This 564-nucleotide ribosomal RNA is filed under the name fungal endophyte. RNAcentral's name for it is "eukaryotic LSU rRNA". The stretch from base 192 to 345 matches the Rfam family "5.8S ribosomal RNA". The record is from RNAcentral. Lineage: Eukaryota; Fungi.
ACCAGCGGAGGGAUCAUUACUGAGUUUACGCUCUAUAACCCUUUGUGAACAUACCUAUAACUGUUGCUUCGGCGGGUAGGGUCUCCGUGACCCUCCCGGCCUCCCGCCCCCGGGCGGGUCGGCGCCCGCCGGAGGAUAACCAAACUCUGAUUUAACGACGUUUCUUCUGAGUGGUACAAGCAAAUAAUCAAAACUUUUAACAACGGAUCUCUUGGUUCUGGCAUCGAUGAAGAACGCAGCGAAAUGCGAUAAGUAAUGUGAAUUGCAGAAUUCAGUGAAUCAUCGAAUCUUUGAACGCACAUUGCGCCCGCCAGCAUUCUGGCGGGCAUGCCUGUUCGAGCGUCAUUUCAACCCUCAAGCUCUGCUUGGUGUUGGGGCCCUACAGCUGAUGUAGGCCCUCAAAGGUAGUGGCGGACCCUCCCGGAGCCUCCUUUGCGUAGUAACUUUACGUCUCGCACUGGGAUCCGGAGGGACUCUUGCCGUAAAACCCCCAAUUUUCCAAAGGUUGACCUCGGAUCAGGUAGGAAUACCCGCUGAACUUAAGCAUAUCAAUAAGCGGAGGAG